ACCCUAAGGGUUCCUCCGGCAGGCUCGUCCGCGGAGGGUUAGUCUGGACCUAAGGCGAGGCCGAAAGGCGUAGUCGAUGGAUAACAGGUCAACAUUCCUGUACCGGUUAUGUUUUGGGAAGAGGGACGGAGAAGGCUAGCCAAGCCAGAUGUUGGUUACUGGUUCAAGCGUUCGAGGCGUUGAGGAUCGGCGAA
Molecule: ribosomal RNA, 194 nt
Filed under: Pyramimonas parkeae
Lineage: Eukaryota; Viridiplantae; Chlorophyta; Pyramimonadophyceae; Pyramimonadales; Pyramimonadaceae
Description: partial Bacterial large subunit ribosomal RNA
Rfam family: Bacterial large subunit ribosomal RNA
Source: RNAcentral